GACCAAGGAGUCUAACACGCGCGCAAGUCGCAGGGCCGUACGAAACCCGAAGGCGCAACGAAAGUGAAGGCCGCUCUCGAGAGCGGCUCGGGCGGGAUCCGCGGCGGAGAAAUUUGCCGCGGCGCACCGCCGGCCCGUCUCGGCCGCGACGUCGGCGAGGCGGAGCAAGAGCGCGCGCGUUGGGACCCGAAAGAUGGUGAACUAUGCCCGAGCAGGACGAAGCCAGAGGAAACUCUGGUGGAGGUCCGCAGCGAUUCUGACGUGCAAAUCGAUCGUCGAACUUGGGUAUAGGGGCGAAAGACUAAUCGAACCGUCUAGUAGCUGGUUCCUGUCGAAGUUUCCCUCAGGAUAGCUGGCGCUCGUUGCAGUUUUAUCCGGUAAAGCGAAUGAUUAGAGGCCUUGGGGACGAAACGACCUCAACCUAUUCUCAAACUUUAAAUGGGUAAGAAGUCCGACUCGCUCGAUCGGAGCCGGGCCGUUGCGAAUGCGAGUGCCAAGUGGGCCACUUUUGGUAAGCAGAACUGGCGCUGUGGGA
RNAcentral lists this ribosomal RNA (535 nucleotides) under Theromyzon trizonare. Its description in RNAcentral is "partial 28S ribosomal RNA". It matches the Rfam family "Eukaryotic large subunit ribosomal RNA", at positions 664 to 1163 of the family's 3401-position model. The record is from RNAcentral. Lineage: Eukaryota; Metazoa; Annelida; Clitellata; Rhynchobdellida; Glossiphoniidae.